RNAcentral lists this ribosomal RNA (273 nucleotides) under uncultured Bacillus sp. RNAcentral describes it as "partial 16S ribosomal RNA". It matches the Rfam family "Bacterial small subunit ribosomal RNA", at positions 524 to 796 of the family's 1533-position model. Lineage: Bacteria; Bacillati; Bacillota; Bacilli; Caryophanales; Bacillaceae. The record is from RNAcentral.
UACGUAGGUGGCAAGCGUUAUCCGGAAUUAUUGGGCGUAAAGCGCGCGCAGGUGGUUUCUUAAGUCUGAUGUGAAAGCCCACGGCUCAACCGUGGAGGGUCAUUGGAAACUGGGAGACUUGAGUGCAGAAGAGGAAAGUGGAAUUCCAUGUGUAGCGGUGAAAUGCGUAGAGAUAUGGAGGGGCACCAGUGGCGAAGGCGACUUUCUGGUCUGUAACUGACACUGAGGCGCGAAAGCGUGGGGAGCAAACAGGAUUAGAAACCCGAGUAGUCC